AGAGAGACUGUGAGCAGGUGACCAGGCUUGCUGGGUCUUCGGUGGAGGCCAUUCCCUUAAGGGGCGGAACUCCAACCGAAGCAAAAAGGACUGUGGUCUGACACCGGUUGGGUCCCCAGCCAGAGGACUCUAACAGCGGGAAGAUGAAAGAGACUCCACCUGGACAGAUGCCCCCCAUCCCGGGGCCUGAGCCUCACAGACUCUGGGAGGCCUGAGAUCUGUGUGUCAAUCAGUGUGCCAAGUUCAAGGCUGUAUGCGGAUGGAGCCAGCACCAAGCAGCUUGUGUUGGCAGAAGCAGAACAAACUGGCUCAGACAAAUCGACUUAUCACAAAAUGGUUCAAGCUCUCAUCGGCAGUGACAGAACAUACAUUAAGGAUCAGAGCAUAGACUCAGUGGCCGGAUGGAGUAGGUUCAAAUCCUGGCUCCACCUCUCAGUGACUCGCAAGUUUCUUAUACUCUCUGGGCCUCAGUUUCUCCACAGGUUCCAAUGAGGACACCGAUAACAGCCCCACCUGAGGGGUGAUUGUCAGACUUGAUCAAUGUAAAGCCCCUGGACUUGACCAUGCUGACAUAUCACAAGUGCGAGAUGAGUGUCUGCUAUUAUUACAAUAACCCAAAUCAAAACAGGCACAAAUGAGCUCAGAAUAAUCGAAGAGAUGUAAAUAUGCUAAUGGACAGGAGGGCAGGGGGCAGGGCACAACCAUGAAAGGAAUGACACAGCAAUUGAAGAUUCAACUCCGGGGAGACCUUGAGGCCCAAGAUGGCGGGAGAUUUGACUCCCAGUAGACCUUGAGCUUCACUGAAAGCUCACUGUAAUACAUUGGCAUGAGAAAUGACACUCCACAGGCACCGUGACCGGUCUGAGGCUGGCCAUAAAAGGUCAAAAAGUGGGCAGUGGCCCAAUUCUUGGGCGUCCCUGCCCCUUCCCCAAAGUAGUUAGACUGAUCCUCCCACUUGUUAGCAUAUGAAGUUUCUAAGCCCAUGAAAACUAGCAACACUGCACCUUGUGGUCGCUCUCUCUUGCCUUCUGAGACGACCGGCAUGCUAUGGAGUGUGCAUCUCUCUGAAU
RNAcentral lists this long non-coding RNA (1070 nucleotides) under Camelus dromedarius (Arabian camel). Its description in RNAcentral is "lncRNA (ENSCDRG00005017450.1)". The record is from RNAcentral. Lineage: Eukaryota; Metazoa; Chordata; Mammalia; Artiodactyla; Camelidae.